UAUUGUUUCUUGAAAAAGUUUUCUAUUUUGGAUUCUCAGAAAGUUUUCAAGUUCAUGCUUUGCUUACUAAAUUUUGUUUCUUUUUGGAAAUGGAAAUCCUUGAAAGUUUGUUUCAAGAUUCAUAUUUCUUAAUUUUUUAUUUAAUUCAAAUUAAAAAUCAUUCAAUUUGGGCUUCUGAAUCAUUUCAAGUUCAAGUCAUAAUUUUAUUGUAAAUCUUCACCUCACCCGAGAUCAAGCUUUAUUCGAUGCUUUAGUGCUUGAGCAUUCUUCCCUUCAGAGGGGAGAUUUUUGCCUUUAAAGAUAGGUCAGAGGAUGAUGAAGAGAUCCUGCAAUACCUCUUGGUACUGGCCAUGAGAAACUCAUUUAUUGAAAGAUGUGUAACAUUUUACGGAGAGUACAUUUAUUUUUUGUGUUAAUUUUCAUAUUAUUUGGAUCUAUAUACGAACACUUGGGACCUUAUGACCACUUCAAUAUUUUUUUAAAGAAACUAUAAAUUUUGCGCGCUUGACUGUAGAAACCUCGUGUGGCAAUCCUGUUGAAAUCUUUGGUUCUGUUUGACAUGGCUCAAUAAAUUGUUUACAGGAUGAUUCCCCAUAAGACUAAGCGUGGUGUAGCUGCACUUGCUCGGUGAAAGGUUUAUGAAGGAAUCCCACCUUCAUAUGACAACAUUAAGAGGAUGGUCAUCCCUGAUGCUCUCAAGUUAGUUCUUUUAUGACCAGUAAUAUGUCUGUUCCGCUCAUCUUUCAUAUAGUUGUGGUUUGCUAAAAAAGUUAUCUUUUGAAAAUCAGGGUUCUGAGGCUUGGAUGUUGGAUGGAACUAUUAUGAUACUAUCAAGGUGAGAUUUAAAUACCUAAUUAUUAUGUGCUUAUGACAAAAAGGCUUUUUCUAGGCUUCUUGUAUGUUUUACUUUUGAAUAAUGCAAUAAAUUCUGUUUUUGCAUCUGAUUUGAUCAAUGAUAGUAUUUGUGAUAUGUUAUUUUUUGUGUUAUAGCCAACGCUUUCAUACAUGAUAUCUCCCGAAUGUUUUUCCUUUUGCUUUUUAUUCAUGAACUUUAUGAGUUUGUGCCAUUAUACUUCAAAAUGAGUAGUACUGUGUUGGUGACCAUUGGCUGAUGUUGGUGACCAAUUAGUCACUCAUAACUUGAUGCAGGGAAAUUUGAAGUGGACAAUGAUUUGUUUGAUUUUGGAUCUGUUGUUUCAUGGUUAGCUGAGAAUUGAUGGGUUUUACUGGUACGAAAAAUGUAUAUAGAUAUAGAGGUGUUUAGAUUUGUAAAUAUGUCUGCAUUUUGGUAAUACAAUGAUAUAUUUGCGUGCUUAUUAAGAUAAUUCAUUUCUUAUUAGUAGUAAUUCUCUCUCUAAUUGAAGUUGGUUGUUUUUAAAAAAAAAAACUCUCCCUUACCCAUCAUUCCUUUUCUUAUUGUUUCUUGAAAAAGUUUUCUAUUUUGGAUUCUCAGAAAGUUUUCAAGUUCAUGCUUUGCUUACUAAAUUUUGUUUCUUUUUGGAAAUGGAAAUCCUUGAAAGUUUGUUUCAAGAUUCAUAUUUCUUAAUUUUUUAUUUAAUUCAAAUUAAAAAUCAUUCAAUUUGGGCUUCUGAAUCAUUUCAAGUUCAAGUCAUAAUUUUAUUGUAAAUCUUCACCUCACCCGAGAUCAAACUUUAUUCGAUGCUUUAGUGCUUGAGCAUUCUUCCCUUCAGAGGGGAGAUUUUUGCCUUUAAAGAUAGGUCAGGGGAUGAUGAAGAGAUCCUGCAAUACCUCUUGGUACUGGCCAUGAGAAACUCAUUUAUUGAAAGAUGUGUAACAUUUUACGGAGAGUACAUUUAUUUUUUGUGUCAAUUUUCAUAUUAUUUGGAUCUAUAUCCGAACACUUGGGACCUUAUGACCACUUCAAUAUUUUUUUUAAAGAAAUUAUAAAUUUUGCGCGCUUGACUGUAGAAACCUCGUGUGGCAAUCCUGUUAAAAUCUUUGGUUCUGUUUGACAUGGCUCAAUAAAUUGUUUACAGGAUGAUUCCCCAUAAGACUAAGCGUGGUGUAGCUGCACUUGCUCGGUGAAAGGUUUAUGAAGGAAUCCCACCUUCAUAUGACAACAUUAAGAGGAUGGUCAUCCCUGAUGCUCUCAAGUUAGUUCUUUUAUGACCAGUAAUAUGUCUGUUCCGCUCAUCUUUCAUAUAGUUGUGGUUUGCUAAAAAAAGUUAUCUUUUGAAAAUCAGGGUUCUGAGGCUUGGAUGUUGGAUGGAACUAUUAUGAUACUAUCAAGGUGAGAUUUAAAUACCUAAUUAUUAUGUGCUUAUGACAAAAAGGCUUUUUCUAGGCUUCUUGUAUGUUUUACUUUUGAAUAAUGCAAUAAAUUCUGUUUUUGCAUCUGAUUUGAUCAAUGAUAGUAUUUGUGAUAUGUUAUUUUUUGUGUUAUAGCCAACGCUUUCAUACAUGAUAUCUCCCGAAUGUUUUUCCUUUUGCUUUUUAUUCUUGAACUUUCUGAGUUUGUGCCAUUAUACUUCAAAAUGAGUAGUACUGUGUUGGUGACCAUUGGCUGAUGUUGGUGACCAUUGGUUGUGUGUAGCAUACUUGUAACUUCUUCAUUGGAAUAGUAUUCUUCGACUAAUGGGUUUAA
This 2605-nucleotide long non-coding RNA is filed under the name Panax ginseng (ginseng). RNAcentral's name for it is "long non-coding RNA (PGIN_LNC009011)". Lineage: Eukaryota; Viridiplantae; Streptophyta; Magnoliopsida; Apiales; Araliaceae. The record is from RNAcentral.